AAGCAACAUCGCGAGGUGAAGCAAAUCCCCAAAAAGUGUCUCAGUUCAGAUUGUAGGCUGCAACUCGCCUACAUGAAGUCGGAAUUGCUAGUAAUCGCGGAUCAGCAUGCCGCGGUGAAUACGUUCCCGGGCCUUGUACACACCGCCCGUCACACCAUGAGAGCCGGUAACACCCGAAGUCAGUAGCCUAACCGCAAGGGGGGCGCUGCCGAAGGUGGGAUUGGUAAUUGGGGUGAAGUCGUAACAAGGUAGC
This 253-nucleotide ribosomal RNA is filed under the name uncultured bacterium. RNAcentral describes it as "partial 16S ribosomal RNA". It matches the Rfam family "Bacterial small subunit ribosomal RNA", at positions 1247 to 1500 of the family's 1533-position model. The record is from RNAcentral.